GUGGGGAAUUUUGGACAAUGGGCGCAAGCCUGAUCCAGCAAUGCCGCGUGCAGGAAGAAGGCCUUCGGGUUGUAAACUGCUUUUGUACGGAACGAAACGGUCCUGGUUAAUACCUGGGGCUAAUGACGGUACCGUAAGAAUAAGCACCGGCUAACUACGUGCCAGCAGCCGCGGUAAUACGUAGGGUGCGAGCGUUAAUCGGAAUUACUGGGCGUAAAGCGUGCGCAGGCGGUGCUGUAAGACAGGCGUGAAAUCCCCGGGCUCAACCGGGGAAUUGCGCUUGUGACUGCAGUGCUGGAGUACGGCAGAGGGGGAUGGAAUUCCGCGUGUAGCAGUGAAAUGCGUAGAUAUGCGGAGGAACACCGAUGGCGAAGGCAGUCCCCUGGGCCUGUACUGACGCUCAUGCACGAAAGCGUGGGGAGCAAACAGGAUUAGAUACCCGAGUAGUCC
This 450-nucleotide ribosomal RNA is filed under the name uncultured bacterium. RNAcentral's name for it is "partial 16S ribosomal RNA". It matches the Rfam family "Bacterial small subunit ribosomal RNA", at positions 354 to 796 of the family's 1533-position model. The record is from RNAcentral.